RNAcentral lists this ribosomal RNA (255 nucleotides) under uncultured bacterium. RNAcentral describes it as "partial 16S ribosomal RNA". It matches the Rfam family "Bacterial small subunit ribosomal RNA", at positions 524 to 776 of the family's 1533-position model. The record is from RNAcentral.
UACGUAGGGGGCGAGCGUUGUCCGGAAUCAUUGGGCGUAAAGCGCGUGUAGGCGGCCCGGUAAGUCCGCUGUGAAAGUCCAGGGCUCAACCCUGGGAUGCCGGUGGAUACUGUCGGGCUCGAGUCCGGAAGAGGCGAGUGGAAUUCCUGGUGUAGCGGUGAAAUGCGCAGAUAUCAGGAGGAACACCAAUGGCGAAGGCAGCUCGCUGGGACGUGACUGACGCUGAGAACGCGAAAGCGUGGGGGAGCAAACAGG